RNAcentral lists this ribosomal RNA (467 nucleotides) under uncultured bacterium. RNAcentral describes it as "partial 16S ribosomal RNA". It matches the Rfam family "Bacterial small subunit ribosomal RNA", at positions 28 to 507 of the family's 1533-position model. The record is from RNAcentral.
GACGAACGCUGGCGGCGUGCUUAACGCAUGCAAGUCGAACGGAAAGGCCCUGCUUUUGUGGGGUGCUCGAGUGGCGAACGGGUGAGUAACACGUGAGUAACCUGCCCUUGACUUUGGGAUAACUUCAGGAAACUGGGGCUAAUACCGGAUAGGAGCUCCUGCUGCAUGGUGGGGGUUGGAAAGUUUCGGCGGUUGGGGAUGGACUCGGGGCUUAUCAGCUUGUUGGUGGGGUAGUGGCUUACCAAGGCUUUGACGGGUAGCCGGCCUGAGAGGGUGACCGGCCCCAUUGUGCGUCGGGUGGGGACCGGAGGCAUACGGGAGGCAGGAGGGGGAGGUUUAGAGCACAGGGCGGCGGCAGGAUGGAGGGACGCCGGAUGGGGGAGAAAGGCUUUCGGGUUGGAAACAAAUUUCGCCUGGAAAGAAGCGUGAGGAAGGUAAAUGAGUAAAAAGGCACGGCUAACUUCGGG